RNAcentral lists this transfer RNA (69 nucleotides) under Falco peregrinus (peregrine falcon). Its description in RNAcentral is "tRNA-Thr". It matches the Rfam family "tRNA". Rfam says of the family: Transfer RNA (tRNA) molecules are approximately 80 nucleotides in length. The record is from RNAcentral. Lineage: Eukaryota; Metazoa; Chordata; Aves; Falconiformes; Falconidae.
CUCUAAUAGUUUAUAAAAACGUUGGUCUUGUAAACCAAAGAGUGAAGGCCUAUAACCUUCUUAGAGUUC